Molecule: long non-coding RNA, 2565 nt
Filed under: Homo sapiens (human)
Lineage: Eukaryota; Metazoa; Chordata; Mammalia; Primates; Hominidae
Description: HSALNT0128769
Source: RNAcentral
AAAUAAGUAUAUUUUAUUAUAGAAGGAUUUGUAUAUAAUUUAUGAGGUUAUUGCCAAACCAUUUGUUUGUUUGUUUAGACUUUUUUCUGGGUCCCUCAGGAGUGGCAUUUGGCAUAUGUGCAAAAAUAUCUGUAUAUCCUAGAUGGUGCCCUAGGACUGGAAUUGCUAGGUCAAAAGGUGUGAAGUCUGUUCUUUUGGUAAUUAUUGCCAAAUUUCCUCUGUAGAGGGUGAACCAAUUUACAAACCUAUCUGUAACUUAUGAGUAUACCCAUGUUUUUUCAUCUUGGUCAAUAUAAUAUGAAAAGAUAAAUAUCUGAGGAGAGUUUUAACUUGGAUCUUUUAUGAGGAAUGAGGUUGAAUAUUUUUUAAUGUUUCUGAGAACUGUCUGUUCAUACCCUUUGUCCAUUUUUAUAUAGGUUAUUUUUUUCUUAUGAAUUUGAAGUUCUUUGAAGUUAGCCUUUUAUGUUAUGAGUAGCAACUGUGAUUUUUUUUUGGCCAUAUGGAGAUUUUUGAUCUUGAAGCAGUGGAAUUAAUAUCUUUUUAUUUAAAAAUGCAUUUGACUUUUGUAUCACAGUUAGGGAGGCCUUCCCAGAGUUUAUUUCAGUAUGUUUAAGGUUUCUUUUUCUUUCUCUCUGACCCUCCAUUUAUUCCUUUUACAUUUCAUCCAUUUGCAAUUUGUAUAUGAAGUGUGAAUCUCAUUUUUUUCCUCAGAUGCCUACUCAGUGCACUAUUUGUUGAAUAAUCUAUCAUUUUCCUGUUGUGUUGAAAUGUCACGUUUUCCUUAAGUUAAAAUUCUCCACAUAGCUCUAUUUAUUUUGGGACUUUCUAUUUUCUUCCUUGGGUCUGUCUGUUAAUAUCUUAAUAUCACACUGUUUUAAUGAUUGAGACUUUUUUUUUUUUUUUGAGACAAAGUCAUGAAAGUGGCUCAUGCCUGUGAUUCCAGCACUUUGGGAGGCUGAGGAGGGUGGACUGCUUGAGCCCAGGAGUUCAAGACCAGCCAACAUGGCGAAACCCCAUCUCUACUAAAAAUACAAAAACUAGCUGGGCAUGGUGGCACGUGUCUGUAGUCCCAGCUACUAGAGAGGCUGAAGUGGGAGGAUUGCUUGAGCCUCGGAGGCAGAGGUUGCAGUGAGCUGAUAUCACAUCACUGCACUCCAGCCUGGGUGACAAAGUUGAGACCUGUCUCAACAACAACAACAAAAACCCUUGGGGAAAAUUUGAAAAAUCACAUUAAAGUUAUAGACAAGCAAGAAAGAACACACCCUUAUAAAGUCGAACAUUCUUUUUUUUUUUUUUUUUUUUGAGACAGAGUCUCGCUGGAGUGCAGUGGUGGGAUCUUGGCUCACUGCAACCUUCGCCUCCCGGGUUCAAGUGAUUCUCCUGCCUCAGCCUCCCUAGUAGCUGGGAUUACAGACACGCGCCACCAUGCCUGGCUACAUUUUGUAUUUUUAGUAGAGACGGGGUUUCACCAUGUUGGCCAGGCUGGUCUCGAACUCCUGACCUCAGGUGAUCCGCCUGCCUUGGCCUCCCAAAGUGCUGAGAUUACAGGUGUGAGCCACCAUGCCUGGCCUUGAAAGUGUUUUUAUUUACUCUUCCUCUUGAAUGAUAGCUUAGCUGGAAAUACUUUUCUCUCCUCAAUCUAUAGAUAUUAUUUGAUUGUCUUCUGGCCUUUAUUUUUGCAUGCAUGAAGUCUCCUGUUAGUCUACUUUUUGUUCCUUUGUAAGUUAUUUUUUCUGUCUGGUUUCCUCCCGUCUUUCCUUCCUUCCUUCCUUCCUUCCUACCUUCCUUCCUUCCUUCCUUCCUACCUUCCUUCCUCCCUCCCUCCCUCCCUCUCUUUCUCUCUUUCUUUCUUUCGAGACAGAAUGUUGCUUGGUGGCCCAGGCUGGAGUGCAGUGGUGCAAUCUCGGCUCACUGCAACCUCUGCCUUCUGGGUUCAAGAGAUUCUCUUGCCUCAGCCUCCCAAGUAGCUGGGAUUACAGGCAUGUGCCAUCAUGCCCGACUAAUUUUUGUAUUUAGUACAGAUGGGGUUUCAUCAUGUUGGCCAGGCUGGUCUUGAACUCCUGACCUCAGGCGAUCCACCUGACUUGGCCUCCCAAAGUGCUGGGAUUACAGAUGUGAGCCACUGUGCUUGGCCUCUGGUUGCUUUUGAAGUGUUUCCUUUGUCUUCAUUUUCAACUGCAAUGUUUCAAGUUGUAUUUUCUCUUUUUUUUUUUUUUUUAAUUUUGUUAGUAUUUAUUGAUCAUUCUUGGGUGUUUCUCCGAGAGGGAGAUUUGGCAGGGUCAUAGGACAAUAGCGGAGAGAAGGUCAGCAGAUAAACAUAUGAACAAAGGUCUCUGGUUUUCCUAGGCAGAGGACCCUGCGGCCUUCCGCAGUGUUUGUGUCCCUGGGUACGUGAGAUUAGGGAGUGGUAAUGACUCUUUAACGAGCAUGCUGCCUUCAAGCAUCUGUUUAACAAAGCACAUCUUGCACCGCCCUUAAUCCAUUUAACCCUGAGUUGACACAGCAUAUGUUUCAGAGAGCACGGGGUUGGGGGUAAGGUUAUAGAUUAACAGCAUCCCAAGGCAG